RNAcentral lists this transfer RNA (75 nucleotides) under Sphaerodactylus townsendi. RNAcentral's name for it is "tRNA-Ser". It matches the Rfam family "tRNA". Rfam says of the family: Transfer RNA (tRNA) molecules are approximately 80 nucleotides in length. The record is from RNAcentral. Lineage: Eukaryota; Metazoa; Chordata; Lepidosauria; Squamata; Sphaerodactylidae.
GGAGAAGCUGUGGUUCAGUGGUCGAACAUCUGCCUUGAAUACAGAAGGUCCCAGGUUCAAUCCUUGGCAUCUCCA